Molecule: small RNA, 28 nt
Filed under: Bombyx mori (domestic silkworm)
Lineage: Eukaryota; Metazoa; Arthropoda; Insecta; Lepidoptera; Bombycidae
Description: ovarian small RNA-27940
Source: RNAcentral
UCCUGGAUUUGUACGGUCAUCGUCGCGG